Molecule: ribosomal RNA, 1245 nt
Filed under: Triticum aestivum (bread wheat)
Lineage: Eukaryota; Viridiplantae; Streptophyta; Magnoliopsida; Poales; Poaceae
Description: partial small subunit ribosomal RNA
Source: RNAcentral
AUGAGUACCUGUAAAAAGGCCAGGGCGGAAGGUAUAUGUGUUGUGACUUUAGAUAGACUGAGCAGCCUACCGCCAGAGAUAAAGGGCAACAUCCUCUCCCUUUUGAAUGUCGAAGAAGCAGUUAGGACUUGCACCUUAUCAAGUACUUGGAGGGAUGCAUGGGCUAAUAUGCCAAAAAUAUCUCUGCGCGAUGGAAAUUUUGCACGAACCAAGUUCGUUACGUUGGUCGAUAUGGUGCUAUCACUCCACAAAGGAACUAUAGAAGAGUGUCAUAUUUCAGGUAACAAAAAUUACCAUGAUGAGUUCGGUAGGUGGAUGCUCAUGCUGUCAAGAAAAUCACCAAGAUCAGUUAUAAUCAAGUUGAACUCAGGGCCAAUGUAUAGGAUUCCCUCAUGCCUCUUUUCUCUCGGCGAUCUGAAGUCUCUGCGACUGAAAAACUGCAUUAUCAGCUUGCCACGGGUAUUCCAAGGUUUCAAGAGCCUAACUUACCUCAGCCUGAGCUUUUUCUCCUCCACAGACAGGGAUAUCCAAAAUCUGAUCUCCUUUUGUCCUGAACUGACUUAUUUGAGAUUAACUUCUUUUGAGGGCAUCAAAUGUCUAAACAUUCAAUCUCCUACACUGGAAGAUCUUGUUGAUGGGUACUUUGAAGACAUUAAUUUAGAUGCCCCUAAUCUGGAGGAGGCCAUUCUCUCUCUUGAUCUCAAAGCUAAGUCAUAUCAAUUUGUUCCAAUUCCGCAUGACAAGGAAAGCCAUGUCAAGCAGUCAUUGGGAAGCCUGAGUGACAUCGAAAUGCUUUUAGUUGGUGGUUUUUUCAUGAAGUAUCUAUCAAAGGGGUGCAUAGUUACGAAGCUCCCUGUCGUGUUUACUCGCCUAGAGGAUAUUUAUCUUGUGAUAUGCCUUUCGGACCAGAGGCAAGUCUUGACCGCGUGUUCAUUAUUUCAGAAUGCCCCCAACUUGAAGAACCUUGGGAUGUUGAGUUACCCUUCGAGAACAUGGGAUGAGGAUAAGGCUAGCAUUCAAGAGCUUACCCUGCAAAUGCAAAUGGACCAUCUCGUAACAGCUAGUGUGAAAGAAUUUAGGGGUCGGGACUACGAAGUCGAUUUCGUGGCAAAGCUACUGACCUGGGCACCUGCUUUGGAAGAAGUGAAAUUAGAGUGGAAGGGUCAAAUAGACCGCAGCAUGGUUCUUACCAAGCUAUUAGCUCUGCCGAGAGUGUCUCCCAGGGCCAAGGUCAUUGUUACAUGA